UCUAGGGUGGAACAACUUUGACACAAAGUAGGCAAGGUGGAGAAGUGGGCACGCAUGCCAAAAUUUUGACAGCUUAUUACAUUGUUUACGUUUUGUGUCAAAGAAAAUCAACGAAAAGUAUGACGAAAAAGUCGUGCUUUGGUAGUGGUGUUUUAUAUGACGUCACCACCAACUUGAUGUAAAUCUUUUUUGUUUUUGUUUUACAACAAACAACAGUGACUGUAAUGCCAAAACGGAAAAACAAUCUCCUAGCUCCUCGGGCAAAAGUCGUGAAGCCCGAUCUCCAAGCACUGCCUCCAGCAGCAGUUCCUCCUCAACGCCCUCCCUACUGAAGCAGAAAGUUAAACUGGAACCAGAAUUUUUACCAACCAUUCCCCAAUUAUCGCCCGAUACCGCUGAACCAGGUCGUGAUGGAUUGUGUAUUUUCCAACAACUUGACCACUUGAUACUUGUACUAUCAGUGAGUUAAGUAUAGGAACUUUCGUCUAAUACUCCAAGGCAACCUGCAAAACACUUUAUCUGUUGGACCCCCUCCGCAUCAACCCGGAGCUGAUCGAGCACAUCCUACGAUUUAACGUCGAUGGCGAUCAUCAGUGGCCCCAGGAGGGAACGAUUCUCAUCUUCCUCCCCGGGCUGGAAGAGGUCAAGAACGUUCACGAAGCCCUGCUGGAUAGUCGCAUGUUUGGCCCCCGAGAGGAUCGCUUCCUGCUGAUACCGUUGCACUCGACGCUGUGCAGCGAGGAACAGGCCCAGGUGUUCCGAAAAACUCCCAAGGGAAAAGGAAAAUUAUGCUGAGUACCAACAUCGCUGAAACUUCGGGUACCAUUGACCAUUGACGACCACCUAGUGAUGAGAACAUUGAUGCCGCCAAGAAACAACUGACUGCUUCGGGUCAUCAUUUAGCAGCAUUAUCGGUAGAUGUGCGGAUAGGAAAGCUCAUGCUGUUUGGAGCUAUUUUUCAGUGCCUGGAUAGUGUGCUAACGAUAGCGACUUGUUUUAGCUACAAGAGUCCGUUUGUGUCUCCCUUCAACAAAAGGAACGAACCAGAAAGUAGAAAGCGGCUGUUCGGUAUUGCGAAUAGCAAUCAUUUGACGAUGCUUAAUGAUUACAGGAAAUGGAAGGAGACUUCGAAGCGCAGUCGAUAUGCGACCAACUGUUUUGCCGAAGAGAAUUACCUGUCGACCAAAACGCUUCACACGAUCGAUGAAAUGAAGCAACAGUUCUUGGAAUUGCUGGUGUCCAUUGGAUUUGUUCCACUAGAUUUGAGUAGUCAUCGGGGGAAAUUUAUUAAAGAUGAGCUACAAGUAGCUUACCGGAACGGAAAUAAAUUCUAACGGAGAGAAUAACCGGCUCCUAGCGGCCAUCCUAUCCGCUGCCCUCUACCCAAACGUCAUAAACCCAGAGAAAAGUUUCAUCAGUGGAGCGAGUGGUGCGGUACCCAAACUGCCUCAACCGUCCGAUCUUCGUUUUAAAACCCAACAGGAUGGAUACGUUUUCUUUUAUCCGUCCUCGAUAAAUGCCACAUGUGGCCACUUCAAUUCCACGUACCUGGUCUACCAGAAAAAAAGUUAAAACGUCCCGGAUCUACAUUCGGGAAACCACAACGGUUCCGCUGCUGCCGAUGGUCCUGUUCUCGGGCAGCGAUCUGCAGAUAGAACUGUACUGGAUGGUGGAUUGAGCUGCAGGCGGAAAUGAUGAAAUUCUUACGCCUCGAGCUGGCUAAAAUUUUGGAGCUUAAAAUUUCCGAUCCGUAACACUAGGUUACAGCUGUUGUACUUUAGAAGAAAAGGAAUAAAUGUUACAUGUUUGUAUUUAAAAGAAUAUUUCCUAAUACAUACAAUGUAAAGCUAUAACGAGCCAAACUCGUUUUGCAUUUUUACAAUUUUGGUAUGCUUAGCUUAACACUUGUUUAGAAGAGAAAGAAGGAUAGAAAGAGAAAUAUGAAAAUAAAAAGAAUUACAGAUGAA
Uranotaenia lowii is the source of this 1967-nucleotide long non-coding RNA. RefSeq lists it as uncharacterized. NCBI's taxonomy places the organism in Eukaryota, Metazoa, Arthropoda, Insecta, Diptera, Culicidae. The record is from RefSeq and is a predicted model, not a curated record. The transcript is spliced from 2 exons.